CCUACGGGAGGCAGCAGUGAGGAAUAUUGGUCAAUGGACGCAAGUCUGAACCAGCCAUGCCGCGUGCAGGAAGACGGCUCUAUGAGUUGUAAACUGCUUUUGUACGAGGGUAAACGCAGAUACGCGGAUCUGUCUGAAAGUAGCGUACGAAUAAGGAUCGGCUAACUCCGUGCCAGCAGCCGCGGUAAUACGGAGGAUUCAAGCGUUAUCCGGAUUGAUUGGGGUUAAAGGGUGCGUAGGCGGUCGGAUAAGUUAGAGGUGAAAUCCCGAGGCUCGACUUCGGAAUUGCCGCUGAUACUGUUCGGCUAGAGCGUAGUUGCGUUCGGCGGCAUGUGUGGUGUAGC
Molecule: ribosomal RNA, 344 nt
Filed under: uncultured bacterium
Lineage: Bacteria
Description: partial 16S ribosomal RNA
Rfam family: Bacterial small subunit ribosomal RNA
Source: RNAcentral